UACCUACGGGAGGCAGCAGUGAGGAAUAUUGGUCAAUGGGCGUAAGCCUGAACCAGCCAAGUCGCGUGAGGGAUGAAGGAUCUAUGGUUCGUAAACCUCUUUUAUAAGGGAAUAAAGUGCGGGACGUGUCCUGUUUUGUAUGUACCUUAUGAAUAAGGAUCGGCUAACUCCGUGCCAGCAGCCGCGGUAAUACGGAGGAUCCGAGCGUUAUCCGGAUUUAUUGGGUUUAAAGGGUGCGUAGGCGGUUUGUCAAGUCAGCGGUAAAAAUUCCGGGCUCAACCCGGUCCCGCCGUUGAAACUGGCGA
Molecule: ribosomal RNA, 305 nt
Filed under: uncultured bacterium
Lineage: Bacteria
Description: bacterial SSU rRNA
Rfam family: Bacterial small subunit ribosomal RNA
Source: RNAcentral